GAAUAUUGGACAAUGGGCGCAAGCCUGAUCCAGCCAUGCCGCGUGUGUGAAGAAGGCCUUCGGGUUGUAAAGCACUUUCAGCGAGGAGGAAGGGUGUUGUGUUAAUAGCACAGCACUUUGACGUUACUCGCAGAAGAAGCACCGGCUAACUCCGUGCCAGCAGCCGCGGUAAUACGGAGGGUGCAAGCGUUAAUCGGAAUUACUGGGCGUAAAGCGCGCGUAGGUAGUUCAGUAAGUUGGAUGUGAAAUCCCCGGGCUCAACCUGGGAACUGCAUCCAAAACUGCUGAACUAGAGUACGGUAGAGGGUGGUGGAAUUUCCUGUGUAGCGGUGAAAUGCGUAGAUAUAGGAAGGAACACCAGUGGCGAAGGCGACCACCUGGACUGAUACUGACACUGAGGUGCGAAAGCGUGGGGAGCAAACAGG
Molecule: ribosomal RNA, 425 nt
Filed under: uncultured bacterium
Lineage: Bacteria
Description: bacterial SSU rRNA
Rfam family: Bacterial small subunit ribosomal RNA
Source: RNAcentral